CUCUCGUUAUCUUCUCUUAUUAGGGUUCAACUUCUUCUUCUUGGUUUGAGGUCCAAUAAUCAUCGAUCUUUGUACACACGGGGUGAUGAUGAUGAUAACGAUUAUCAGAAAUAUUUCUCUUCUUUUAUCCUUCUUAUCUGAAUCAGAUUCAAUUUGUCUCUCGUUCUCUUCUCUAUUACGAGAAACUCUAUUGGCCAAAUGAUUGUAUUCUUUAAAACUCGUACCAAAAAUCCAGUAGCCAACAGUUGAGAUGAAGAACUAAUGAACUAGAAGAAGACUUCCAGAACUUCUAAAAGAUUGUGGGAUGUAAGGAGUGGGAAGAUUAUGCACACAAUAGAAACUAGUUCACCUUUGAAACGUAACCGAAGUUAGUCGGGAUGGUCGUUAUAUCACCACCUAAGACGGUUCCACUGUUAAAUUUUAGGAUGAAAAUCAUUUUGGACUAGUGAAGACCUAUGACAUGUCAUGCACUUUGGAAUUGGCUUUUGUGGAACCGAAGCUUGGAAAUAAGUUUGUAGCUGCUAGAGAAGACAUCUGGAUACGAUUGUUUGAUUGUUCGAUCUAGAAGAGAAAUAUAGAGAAGUAAACGCAACCGUCAAAGAAAAAGAAUUUUUGAUAUCUAAUCUCCUUCGAGCAGGUGAGCGGGAAUCUAUUUUUAUUUCUUCAGUUAGCUUAUUGAUGCAUAUGAGCAGUGGAGAUUCCUAUUUCUUCGGUACCCAAGAAAACAUUGGUAUUGGAUACUUAAUUUGGAUUGCCUCUUCAUAUUCCCACCUCACAACCUUUGUUUUGUGCAUGCUUGUUGUCUUUUGGCCUAGUAGUCUCAGUACCAUUGGUUUAUGCUUAUUGUAUUGUUACAUUCUUGAUGUUUGACCAAGUCGAAUUGACAAGUUUUCUUUCUAAUUGUCUUCAUUGUCAUUUGGUUUGGUUAUUUAGAAUUGACUAUCCUUUUGAAUAUUUUUCCAGGAAUUGGAGAAGGAAGACACUAUGGGGGUUAUUUAUAAUUGACUAUCCUUUUGAAUAUUUUUUCAGGAAUUGGAGAAGGAACACACUAUGGAAGGUGUACAAGCAGCUAAAAGCUUUGUUUUUUUUUUUCCUUCUGGGUGUUUUUAAGUUCAUUAAUUAGGUAGUCUUGGUUCUAAAACACUGGUAACUUGAUAUUGUUGGAUUAAUAUGGUUAUAAAUGAACAGGGUAACUUCAUUUUGGUA
Molecule: long non-coding RNA, 1206 nt
Organism: Papaver somniferum (opium poppy)
Lineage: Eukaryota; Viridiplantae; Streptophyta; Magnoliopsida; Ranunculales; Papaveraceae
Exons: 4
Source: RefSeq, a predicted model, not a curated record